This 88-nucleotide microRNA precursor is filed under the name Cricetulus griseus (Chinese hamster). Its description in RNAcentral is "mir-626". The record is from RNAcentral. Lineage: Eukaryota; Metazoa; Chordata; Mammalia; Rodentia; Cricetidae.
AAUUAGAUUAAACAAAUUAUAUAUAUAACAUAUAGUAUUUUAUGUAUUAUAUAUAAUAUUAUAUAUAAAAAACCAGAAUUACAUUAAU